This 253-nucleotide ribosomal RNA is filed under the name uncultured bacterium. Its description in RNAcentral is "partial 16S ribosomal RNA". It matches the Rfam family "Bacterial small subunit ribosomal RNA", at positions 524 to 776 of the family's 1533-position model. The record is from RNAcentral.
UACGUAGGUGGCAAGCGUUGUCCGGAUUUACUGGGCGUAAAGCGAACGCAGGCGGGCCUUUAAGUAGGAAGUGAAAGGUUGGAGCUCAACUCUAACACUGCUCCCUAUACUGGAGGCCUUGAGUGCCGGAGAGGAAGACGGAACUGCAGGUGUAGCGGUGAAAUGCGUUGAUAUCUGCAGGAACACCAAUGGCGAAAGCAGUCUUCUGGACGGAUACUGACGCUCAGGUUCGAAAGCCAAGGUAGCAAACAGG